AAAAGGUUCGCGUGUAGCGGGAACAUCCCUAUAAACCUCCAUGGAUACCAGUAGGCUGGUUAAAAAAGGGGCAAUUAUUGUUUUGAUGAUUAGAAUAUGAAAGUAUAUACAGAAUCAUGAUAUAUAUAAUGUUAUGGAUUGUUUUCUAUGGGUUGUUUUUUAUAAAUCUCACUACAGUAAGUGAACGGUAAAUAGUUUUAUUAUUGAUAAAUAAAUUUGCUUAAUUUAGUGCUCCAUAGUUGUUU
RNAcentral lists this long non-coding RNA (245 nucleotides) under Carica papaya (papaya). Its description in RNAcentral is "long non-coding RNA (CPAP_LNC002012)". Lineage: Eukaryota; Viridiplantae; Streptophyta; Magnoliopsida; Brassicales; Caricaceae. The record is from RNAcentral.